Molecule: ribosomal RNA, 253 nt
Filed under: uncultured bacterium
Lineage: Bacteria
Description: partial 16S ribosomal RNA
Rfam family: Bacterial small subunit ribosomal RNA
Source: RNAcentral
GACGAACCGUCCAAACGUUGUUCGGAUUCACUGGGUUUAAAGGGCGCGUAGGCGGUCUGUUAAGUCGGUGGUGAAAUACUUCAGCUCAACUGGAGAAUGGCCGCUGAAACUGGCAGGCUCGAGGGAGGGAGAGGUGCGUGGAACUUCCGGUGGAGCGGUGAAAUGCGUUGAUAUCGGAAGGAACACCUGUGGCGAAGGCGGCGCACUGGACCUCUACUGACGCUGAGGCGCGAAAGCCAGGGUAGCGAACGGG